CUGAUAAUAUUUAAAGGUUGUGCUAGGAGAAAAUUUAAAAUUUUCUUCCUUAAUUGUUUAUAGAUCAAGGGAAAAUUUUAAAAUGCAGUGCAACAUGGAUAUUGAAAGAGUUUAUAAAAUUCGUAAAAAUACCCCCAAUCAGACAGACUAUAAUAACCGAAAAUGGUUGGAAUACAUAUCUAGGUGUCCGUUCGUUAACUGUCGAUUACGUAUAACGCAAUAUGGCACGAAGGUUUAAAUAACAACAGGCAUCGCAAUAUUUAUAAUUCUGUUCAUAACAUUCUCAUCGCCAUUAUCAUUCCUUACAUGGAAGAGCGAAAGAUUUUCCGAAAAGUUCAUAACCCCCUACUCACAACCAAUUACCUAGUAGAUGGCCUUUAUGAGAAAAUGUCAGGCCCAUAAGCAGAGGUUACUCCUGUUCUGCUCACAAAUUUCUGCAUGCCUGUAAAUCCUACCCAAAUUUGCCUGCACAUGAAUAUGUGUGAGAACUUAUUAUUCAAGCACAGAUUUAGUCCUGUGUUGAAUGUGUCAGACAUAACCUGAAAAGUUUAUUUGUUUACUGUUGUUGUGUUUGUAAUUGUUUAAUUAUGUAGAAUACUUCCUGCAAAAGUUUGCUGAAGAAGCUGCAAUUACCAGAAAAGUAUGAAGGAAGACAACUUUGAUCCAGAACCAAAGGAAAAGACUGUUCUGAAGGAUGCCAUAUACAAGUUUCUUCAGCAGUUUUAUAAUGAAAGAGACUCUGAAAAGAUAACUGAUGAAUUUAUGAAAGAUUUCUAUCGUUCAGUUUCUAGUUUGAGCCUCGAUGACUUGGAAAGACUUGCAACUUCUUAUCUUCAAGAUGAAAAGACGAACUGAAGGAAGGAAAAGUUCAUCUGUUUUGUAACCUAACACGAGUUCCAUGUAAAUAAACUGUGGUACAUUU
Molecule: long non-coding RNA, 922 nt
Organism: Cryptotermes secundus
Lineage: Eukaryota; Metazoa; Arthropoda; Insecta; Blattodea; Kalotermitidae
Exons: 2
Source: RefSeq, a predicted model, not a curated record